RNAcentral lists this ribosomal RNA (490 nucleotides) under uncultured bacterium. RNAcentral's name for it is "partial 16S ribosomal RNA". It matches the Rfam family "Bacterial small subunit ribosomal RNA", at positions 30 to 507 of the family's 1533-position model. The record is from RNAcentral.
AUUGAACGCUGGCGGCAGGCCUAACACAUGCCAGUCGAACGGUAACAGGAAACAGCUUGCUGUUUCGCUGACGAGUGGCGGACGGGUGAGUAAUGUCUGGGAAACUGCCUGAUGGAGGGGGAUAACUACUGGAAACGGUAGCUAAUACCGCAUAACGUCGCAAGACCAAAGAGGGGGACCUUCGGGCCUCUUGCCAUCGGAUGUGCCCAGAUGGGAUUAGCUAGUAGGUGGGGUAACGGCUCACCUAGGCGACGAUCCCUAGCUGGUCUGAGAGGAUGACCAGCCACACUGGAACUGAGACACGGUCCAGACUCCUACGGGAGGCAGCAGUGGGGAAUAUUGCACAAUGGGCGCAAGCCUGAUGCAGCCAUGCCGCGUGUAUGAAGAAGGCCUUCGGGUUGUAAAGUACUUUCAGCGGGGAUGAAGGGAGUAAAGUUAAUACCUUUGCUCAUUGACGUUACCCGCAGAAGAAGCACCGGCUAACUCCGUG